Molecule: ribosomal RNA, 732 nt
Filed under: uncultured bacterium
Lineage: Bacteria
Description: bacterial SSU rRNA
Rfam family: Bacterial small subunit ribosomal RNA
Source: RNAcentral
GAUGAACGCUGACAGAAUGCUUAACACAUGCAAGUCUACUUGAAGCUAACUUCAGUUAGUGGAGGGUGGCGGACGGGUGAGUAACGCGUAAAGAACUUGCCUCACAGAUUGGGACAACAUCUGGAAACGGAUGCUAAUACCGGAUAUUAUGAUUCUUCUGCAUGGAAGGAACAUGAAAGCUAUAUGCGCUGUGAGAGAGCUUUGCGUCCCAUUAGCUAGUUGGAGAGGUAACGGCUCACCAAGGCGAUGAUGGGUAGCCGGCCUGAGAGGGUGAACGGCCACAAGGGGACUGAGACACGGCCCUUACUCCUACGGGAGGCAGCAGUGGGGAAUAUUGGACAAUGGACCAAAAGUCUGAUCCAGCAAUUCUGUGUGCACGAUGAAGUUUUUCGGAAUGUAAAGUGCUUUCAGUUGGGAAGAAGCAAGUGACGGUACCAACAGAAGAAGCGACGGCUAAAUACGUGCCAGCAGCCGCGGUAAUACGUAUGUCGCAAGCGUUAUCCGGAUUUAUUGGGCGUAAAGUGCGUCUAGGCGGCUACAUAAGUCUGAUGUGAAAAUGCGGGGCUCAACUCCGUAUUGCGUUGGAAACUGUGUGGCUAGAGUACUGGAGAGGUAAGCGGAACUACAAGUGUAGAGGUGAAAUUCGUAGAUAUUUGUAGGAAUGCCGAUGGGGAAGCCAGCUUACUGGACAGAUACUGACGCUAAAGCGCGAAAGCAUGGGUAGCAAACAGG